Molecule: ribosomal RNA, 265 nt
Filed under: uncultured archaeon
Lineage: Archaea
Description: partial 16S ribosomal RNA
Rfam family: Archaeal small subunit ribosomal RNA
Source: RNAcentral
ACACGACUACAUUAGAUACCCGUGUAGUCCUAGCCGUAAGCGAUACUCGCUAGGUGUCGGCCACGGUGCGACCGUUGUCGGUGCCGUAGGGAAGCCGUGAAGCGAGCCACCUGGGAAGUACGGCCGCAAGGCUGAAACUUAAAGGAAUUGGCGGGGGAGCACCACAACGGGUGGAGCUUGCGGUUUAAUUGGAUUCAACGCCGGAAAUCUUACCGGGACCGACAGCAACAUGAAGGCCAGGCUGAAGACUUCGCCGGAUUAGCUG